GAGUUUGAUCCUGGCUCAGGACGAACGCUGGCGGCGUGCCUAAUACAUGCAAGUAGAACGCUGACUACUUUAGCUUGCUAGAGUAGAAGGAGUUGCGAACGGGUGAGUAACGCGUAGGUAACCUGCCUACUAGCGGGGGAUAACUAUUGGAAACGAUAGCUAAUACCGCAUAACAGUGUUUAACACAUGUUAGAUGCUUGAAAGAUGCAAUUGCAUCACUAGUAGAUGGACCUGCGUUGUAUUAGCUAGUUGGUGGGUAACGGCCCACCAAGGCGACGAUACAUAGCCGACCUGAGAGGGUGAUCGGCCACACUGGGACUGAGACACGGCCCAGACUCCUACGGGAGGCAGCAGUGGGGAAUAUUGCACAAUGGGGGAAACCCUGAUGCAGCGACGCCGCGUGGAGGAAGAAGGUCUUCGGAUUGUAAACUCCUGUU
This 437-nucleotide ribosomal RNA is filed under the name uncultured bacterium. RNAcentral describes it as "bacterial SSU rRNA". It matches the Rfam family "Bacterial small subunit ribosomal RNA", at positions 9 to 437 of the family's 1533-position model. The record is from RNAcentral.